This 206-nucleotide long non-coding RNA is filed under the name Sorghum bicolor (sorghum). RNAcentral describes it as "long non-coding RNA (SBIC_LNC013830)". The record is from RNAcentral. Lineage: Eukaryota; Viridiplantae; Streptophyta; Magnoliopsida; Poales; Poaceae.
GCAGGAGGAUUCUUGGUAAUUCUCUAAUUGUGCUUCUAAUUGCUUUCUAAUUAUCUUUGUUCUUCAAUAUUAUGAAUAUGACUUUGUUCUACUUCAAUAUAUUGCUUAUGACUUUGCUCUACUUGCUUAUAUUCAAGAUUAUAUUGUUCUUAGUUUAUCAUAGUUAUGUACUUGGCUUAGUUAGAUUUGAUCUAUAUACAUGCUUA